RNAcentral lists this transfer RNA (72 nucleotides) under Ictidomys tridecemlineatus (thirteen-lined ground squirrel). Its description in RNAcentral is "Spermophilus tridecemlineatus (thirteen-lined ground squirrel) tRNA". It matches the Rfam family "tRNA". From Rfam's summary of the family: Transfer RNA (tRNA) molecules are approximately 80 nucleotides in length. Their secondary structure includes four short double-helical elements and three loops (D, anti-codon, and T loops). Further hydrogen bonds mediate the characteristic L-shaped molecular structure. tRNAs have two regions of fundamental functional importance: the anti-codon, which is responsible for specific mRNA codon recognition, and the 3' end, to which the tRNAs corresponding amino acid is attached (by aminoacyl-tRNA synthetases). tRNAs cope with the degeneracy of the genetic code in two manners: having more than one tRNA (with a specific anti-codon) for a particular amino acid; and 'wobble' base-pairing, i.e. permitting non-standard base-pairing at the 3rd anti-codon position. The record is from Rfam by way of RNAcentral. Lineage: Eukaryota; Metazoa; Chordata; Mammalia; Rodentia; Sciuridae.
GGGGUUGUGGCUCAGUGAUAGAGCACUCGCCUAGCAUGUGUGAGGCCCUGGGUUCAAUCCUCAGCACCACUU